RNAcentral lists this ribosomal RNA (487 nucleotides) under uncultured bacterium. Its description in RNAcentral is "partial 16S ribosomal RNA". It matches the Rfam family "Bacterial small subunit ribosomal RNA", at positions 28 to 507 of the family's 1533-position model. The record is from RNAcentral.
GAUGAACGCUAGCGAUAGGCUUAACACAUGCAAGUCGAGGGGCAGCACAAGGUAGCUUGCUCUCUGGGUGGCGACCGGCGCACGGGUGCGUAACGCGUAUGCAACUUGCCCUAUACAGGAGGAUAACCCGUCGAAAGACGGACUAAUACUGCGUAUGCUCACAACUUGGCAUCAAGUGGUGAGGAAAGAAAUUCGGUAUAGGAUAGGCAUGCGUCCCAUUAGCUUGUUGGUGAGGUAACGGCUCACCAAGGCAACGAUGGGUAGGGGAACUGAGAGGUUUAUCCCCCAAACUGGUACUGAGACACGGACCAGACUCCUACGGGAGGAAGCAGUGAGGAAUAUUGGGCAAGGGGCGCGAGCCUGAACCAGCCAAGUCGCGUGAAGGAUGACUGUCUUAUGGAUUGUAAACUUCUUUUAUACGGGAAUAACAAGAGUCACGGGUGACUCCCUGCAUGUACCGUAUGAAUAAGCAUCGGCUAACUCCGUG